RNAcentral lists this ribosomal RNA (440 nucleotides) under uncultured bacterium. Its description in RNAcentral is "partial 16S ribosomal RNA". It matches the Rfam family "Bacterial small subunit ribosomal RNA", at positions 338 to 795 of the family's 1533-position model. The record is from RNAcentral.
CCUACGGGCGGCAGCAGUGCGGAAUAUUGCACAAUGGGGGAAACCCUGAUGCAGCGACGCCGCGUGAGUGAAGAAGUAAUUCGUUAUGUAAAGCUCUAUCAGCAGGGAAGAAAAUGACGGUACCUGAGUAAGAAGCCCCGGCUAACUACGUGCCAGCAGCCGCGGUAAUACGUAGGGGGCAAGCGUUAUCCGGAUUUACUGGGUGGAAAGGGAGCGUAGACGGCAGUGCAAGUCUGGAGUGAAAGGCGGGGGCUCAACCCCCGGACUGCUCUGGAAACUGUACGGCUGGAGUGCAGGAGAGGUAAGUGGAAUUCCUAGUGUAGCGGUGAAAUGCGUAGAUAUUAGGAGGAACACCAGUGGCGAAGGCGACUUACUGGACUGUAACUGACGUUGAGGCUCGAAAGCGUGGGGAGCAAACAGGAUUAGAUACCCUAGUAGUC